CCUACGGGAGUCAGCAGUGGGGAAUAUUGGGCAAUGGGCGCAAGCCUGACCCAGCAACGCCGCGUGCAGGAAGAAGGCUUUCGGGUUGUAAACUUCUUUUAAGAGGGAAGAGCAGAAGACGGUACCUCUUGAAUAAGCCACGGCUAACUACAUGCCAGCAGCCGCGGUAAUACGUAGGUGGCAAGCGUUGUCCGGAUUUACUGGGUGUAAAGGGCGUGCCGCCGGGCUGACAAGUCAGAUGUUAAAUCCCGUGGAUCAACAACGGAACUGCAUGUGAAACUGGCGGUCUUGAGUAUCGGAGAGGCAGGCGGAUUUCCUAGUGUAGCGGUGAAAUGCGUAGAUAUUAGGAGGAACACCAGUGGCGAAGGCGGCCUGCUGGACGACAACUGACGGUGAGGCGCGAAAGCGUGGGGAGCAAACAGGAUUAGAUACCCCAGUAGUC
Molecule: ribosomal RNA, 442 nt
Filed under: uncultured bacterium
Lineage: Bacteria
Description: partial 16S ribosomal RNA
Rfam family: Bacterial small subunit ribosomal RNA
Source: RNAcentral